Molecule: transfer RNA, 85 nt
Filed under: Felis catus (domestic cat)
Lineage: Eukaryota; Metazoa; Chordata; Mammalia; Carnivora; Felidae
Also listed under: 3 other names
Rfam family: tRNA
About the family: Transfer RNA (tRNA) molecules are approximately 80 nucleotides in length. Their secondary structure includes four short double-helical elements and three loops (D, anti-codon, and T loops).
Source: Rfam by way of RNAcentral
GCCUGGGUGGCUCAGCCGGUUAAGCGUCUGACUUCGGCUCAGGUCAUGAUCUCACGGUUCGUGAGUUCGAGCCCCACAUCGGGCU